RNAcentral lists this ribosomal RNA (386 nucleotides) under uncultured organism. RNAcentral's name for it is "bacterial SSU rRNA". It matches the Rfam family "Bacterial small subunit ribosomal RNA", at positions 45 to 432 of the family's 1533-position model. The record is from RNAcentral.
GGCCUAACACAUGCCAAGUCGAGCGGUUGACGGGAGCUUGCUCCCUGAUUCAGCGGCGGACGGGUGAGUAAUGCCUAGGAAUCUGCCUAUUAGUGGGGGACAACGUUUCGAAAGGAACGCUAAUACCGCAUACGUCCUACGGGAGAAAGCAGGGGACCUUCGGGCCUUGCGCUAAUAGAUGAGCCUAGGUCGGAUUAGCUAGUUGGUGGGGUAAAGGCUCACCAAGGCGACGAUCCGUAACUGGUCUGAGAGGAUGAUCAGUCACACUUGAACUGGAACACGGUCCAGACUCCUACGGGAGGCAGCAGUGGGGAAUAUUGGACAAUGGGCGAAAGCCUGAUCCAGCCUUUCCGCGUGUGUGAAGAAGGUCUUCGGAUUGUAAAGCU